Chinchilla lanigera (long-tailed chinchilla) is the source of this 2477-nucleotide long non-coding RNA. RefSeq lists it as uncharacterized. Lineage: Eukaryota; Metazoa; Chordata; Mammalia; Rodentia; Chinchillidae. The record is from RefSeq and is a predicted model, not a curated record. The transcript is spliced from 3 exons.
GGUUCCUGGCACCAUAGAGCUUUUUGUUUUUUGGGACGAUUGCCAGACCAGGUCUUGUUUCUAUACAAAACCUGAGAAGGUUCAGCAGUUGGGGUUUGGGGUGACUUGCUGUGUCAGGGUUCUCCCACUUCAUCAGCUUUCUUUGCCUCAUUUCCUAGCUGGAGCCUUUCCCAGGGCUUUUGAAUUCAUCUAAGAUACCAAGGACAUCUGAGCUGGGGUUUAAGACUUCCUCAAGAUGCCUGGGAAAGCCCUCAGUUUCAACGUUGAUCAAAUGGAUAUAAGACCACAAAACCCAUGAAAAUCUAGUUGUGCAAUCUGAGAGUGGUGUCCAUGUUAAAGAUCUUUUGGGUCUUUGGCAAAAAUUCAUGAGACUCUUAGAAAGAGACGAUGCUCUGACCUGAAGUCAUUAAGUUCUCCAUGAAGAGGAACUGCAGCUACGCUGACCAGACACCACCAUCAUCUGCCGUGCAAGGACGGGGAAUUAGCUUGUGCUGAUAGAGUUUUGAGCAUCUGGAAAACCUUUGGUCAGGAGGCCUAUUCCUGGUAAUAAAAGACCUGAAAAUGCCCUAAAUGUGGAGAUACAGAAGCCUGUCCUUUGAGAAGAAAAAGGAGAGGAAGUCUGCUCAUCUCCAACAGAAAGGAUGAAGUGCUGGGGUGGCGGGGGCUCUUAAGUUAGCAGGAACCAAGGCCUGCAUCAUAAGGCGUGUGUAGGAAGACUGGAUGCACUGCUGUACAGCAACCAAAGCUCCCGUAAAUCUUCUGUUAAAUCUUAACACAGAGCAAAAUAAGCCACAGGUCUUUGAACGGGCCUGUGGGGAAUGGGUAGAAUCCCUAUGGAGGUGAGUGGGCCAGGCUUCUUGUUAGUAGUGGCAUGGGGUCUGUGUCAGAUUUUAGAUUUGCUUUUAAUUUCAUUUUAAAAAAGUGAGUAUGACAUUUUAGUUCCUUGAAUAUAAUGGAGCAAGAAAUGGAAGCAUAUUGUACAUUUCCACAACUUUUGAUGCCUGGUAUGUAUUGAAUAAAUUUUAUUUGGUUUUAAUAAUAAUAAUAAAAUUAAUAAUACUAAAGCUUCUCCUGUUGUUCGCCCUGGAGUCAAGCUAUAAAGACCAAUAGAUCUAAGAUCAGAUAAAUGACUUGAACAAUUGUAUGGAAGAAUCUGGUAGUUGGUUAUCACAAUCCACGCUGUCCUGUACUUCCUGGUGUAUAGCUAGACUAUGUUCCCCCUCAGCAUUUCUUGCAAUUAACAUGUCCUCAUGUCUGAGUUCUAGCUAUCUGACAUGAGCAGAGGUAAACUACAUCCCUUGCAGGUAUGGACUAUUAGAAACGCUGAAGCACACCCCCUGGUGAUCUCUCUGCUCUGGCCUAUUGGAAUAGAAAUGAUCCCCAAAGUGACCUUAUAUCCUACAUGCUGAAGAUGCCAGAGGCUCCUUCGGUCUGUAUCACUGAAUAACACUGAGAAACAGAGUCAGCCCACAGACAAGAGUGCCCAUAAUGCACUGUUUCUUGAAUGAGCAAAAAAUAAAUUCCAUUGUGUUCAGCCACUGAGAUUCUGGGAUUAUCCUAGUGGUACCCUAAGUAACAAAACACACUGACUCCUCUUCCCCUACAAUCACCACCUGUUUCUGCCUUUUGUAAAGAAUGUCUUUAAAAUGGUGGAACAGAUAUAAGCAGAAUGAAUUGAAAAUCUAGUGUACAACUCACAUUUAGGCCCCUUAUCAAUAUGUUUUGUUUGCUACACAGGGAUUCUAUUUUAAUUCAUUUAGUUGCCAACAUUUAUAAACGAGGAGAAUUCACACUGAGAUUUAGAUUUCCAUCUUCUGAAAAACCAGAUGAUCUACACUUUUGACGUGAGUCCUCAUCUUCUAGACCAACCAUGCCUGUUCUGGUCACUUCCCCUCUUCCCCGCGAGUUACUUGGCGGUUGACUACAGUUAAACUUGCCUCCUCGAUUAUCAUAAGUAGCUGGGUAUUUAAAAUUAUGCAAUGCCAGGUGGACAAUAAUUAUGAUUAGGAAGAUUAGCUGUUUUUAUAUUAUACUCUUGGGCUUUUCUGUUGGAAAUUACAGAAAGAGCCAUCUAAAAUCCAUUUCUAUAUUUGCUGCCCGAGUACUGUUGGUACUCUCAGUACUUCCUAUGUUGAAUCUAACAUCAAAUCUCACUUUAGAAUUAACUCACUAAAAAAUAAAUGCUAACAUCCUCUCACCCCAAAAACAAGAAAAAUUAUUUAUCCAAUCAUUUUCCCUGUUUUAACAUUAGCUGUUAGAAAGUCCAGAGCCAUAUUUCUAACUAUAUUGUAUGAGAAUUUAUGAGUUAUACAUAUUCUAUUUUUGCCUGCUAUUGCUAUUUUAUUUUGAUGUAUGUUCUCAAUUAUUAUUAUGUAUGUACUUUUUAAAAAUGCAACUAUUUCAUACAUGCAUUUCCUAUAAGCUAUCCCAAAUUCUUUGUGAAAUUAAAGUAUAAGUAAAUAAAUAUAGUUAAAUUA